CGCAUCUGUGCAUGCAGCAUAUCAAUAAGCGGAGGAAAAGAAACUAACAAGGAUUCCCCUAGUAACGGCGAGUGAAGCGGGAAGAGCUCAAAUUUGAAAUCUUAAAGGGUUUCCCUUUACGAAUUGUAGUUUAAAGAAGUGUUUUCUGUUGAGGUUUUGGUAAAAGUUCUUUGGAAUAGGACAUCAUAGAGGGUGAGAAUCCCGUAUUUGACCUUUACUUUCAACUUUGUGAUACACUUUCAAAGAGUCGGAUUGUUUGGGAAUGCAGUCCAAAAUGGGUGGUAAAUUUCAUCUAAAGCUAAAUAUUGGCGAGAGACCGAUAGCGAACAAGUACCGUGAGGGAAAGAUGAAAAGAACUUUGAAAAGAGAGUUAAACAGUACGUGAAAUUGUCAAAAGGGAAGCGUUUGACACCAGUGUUGUUUUUCUGAAAAUCAAUUAAAGAACUGUUUAUGCUAAGUUGUUUAGACUUUAUCAGCUAACUGUUUAGUUUUGAGCUUUUCUUUAAUGCACUUUUCAGUUAACAAGUCAACAUCAAUUUCUUUUGCUGUAAAAAAGCUUGAGGAAGGUGGCUUGAGAUUCGUCUUAAGUGUUUAUAGCCUCUUGCCUAUGCAGUCGGAGAGAUUGAGGUCUGCAGCGUAGAUCCUUCGGGGCUAAAUGCAUUUGUGCUAAGUUAUAACACUUUAUAGACAACUUGUUGACUAUGAUUUGUCUUGUAGCUUACUCGCUUAUGUUAUUUUACCUACGCUUAGGAUGUUGACAGCAGUAUAGACUGU
This 774-nucleotide ribosomal RNA is filed under the name uncultured Neocallimastigales. RNAcentral describes it as "partial large subunit ribosomal RNA". It matches the Rfam family "Eukaryotic large subunit ribosomal RNA", at positions 26 to 637 of the family's 3401-position model. Lineage: Eukaryota; Fungi; Neocallimastigomycota; Neocallimastigomycetes; Neocallimastigales. The record is from RNAcentral.